RNAcentral lists this ribosomal RNA (458 nucleotides) under uncultured bacterium. Its description in RNAcentral is "bacterial SSU rRNA". It matches the Rfam family "Bacterial small subunit ribosomal RNA", at positions 29 to 532 of the family's 1533-position model. The record is from RNAcentral.
AACGAACGCUGGCGGCAUGCCUAACACAUGCAAGUCGAACGAAGGCUUCGGCCUUAGUGGCGCACGGGUGCGUAACGCGUGGGAACCUGCCCCUCGGUUCGGAAUAACAGUUAGAAAUGACUGCUAAUACCGGAUGAUGACUUCGGUCCAAAGAUUUAUCGCCGAGGGAUGGGCCCGCGUAGGAUUAGCUAGUUGGUGGGGUAAAGGCCUACCAAGGCGACGAUCCUUAGCUGGUCUGAGAGGAUGAUCAGCCACACUGGGACUGAGACACGGCCCAGACUCCUACGGGAGGCAGCAGUGGGGAAUAUUGGACAAUGGGCGAAAGCCUGAUCCAGCAAUGCCGCGUGAGUGAUGAAGGCCUUAGGGUUGUAAAGCUCUUUUACCAGGGAUGAUAAUGACAGUACCUGGAGAAUAAGCUCCGGCUAACUCCGUGCCAGCAGCCGCGGUAAAGUAGACGU